GCAAACUUGGCCGAGAGGUCUAAGGCGCCAGAUUUAAGAGAGAUAAUCUCAAAAUCCCUGGUCACGAGAGUGGCGUGGGUUCGAACCCCACAGUUUGCA
RNAcentral lists this transfer RNA (99 nucleotides) under Penicillium coprophilum. It matches the Rfam family "tRNA". From Rfam's summary of the family: Transfer RNA (tRNA) molecules are approximately 80 nucleotides in length. Their secondary structure includes four short double-helical elements and three loops (D, anti-codon, and T loops). Further hydrogen bonds mediate the characteristic L-shaped molecular structure. tRNAs have two regions of fundamental functional importance: the anti-codon, which is responsible for specific mRNA codon recognition, and the 3' end, to which the tRNAs corresponding amino acid is attached (by aminoacyl-tRNA synthetases). tRNAs cope with the degeneracy of the genetic code in two manners: having more than one tRNA (with a specific anti-codon) for a particular amino acid; and 'wobble' base-pairing, i.e. permitting non-standard base-pairing at the 3rd anti-codon position. Lineage: Eukaryota; Fungi; Ascomycota; Eurotiomycetes; Eurotiales; Aspergillaceae. The record is from Rfam by way of RNAcentral.